Molecule: ribosomal RNA, 329 nt
Filed under: uncultured eukaryote
Lineage: Eukaryota
Description: partial 18S ribosomal RNA
Rfam family: Eukaryotic small subunit ribosomal RNA
Source: RNAcentral
CCCUUAGAUGUUCUGGGCCGCACGCGCGCUACACUGACGGAGGCAGCGAGCGUGUCCUUCGCCGGCAGGUGCGGGCAAUCUUGCGAGUCUCCGUCGUGCUGGGGAUAGAUGGUUGCAAUUGUCGAUCCUGAACGAGGAAUUCCUAGUAAGCGCGAGUCAUCAGCUCGCGCUGAUUACGUCCCUGCCCUUUGUACACACCGCCCGUCGCUACUACAGAGUGCCCGUGUCCAAGAAACGGUCGGACCUGUGCGGCCUCUCCGGGCGACCGGAGGGCCGUUACGGGGAAGACCCUUUAUUUGACGCGGGUCGAUGAAGUAAAAGUCGUAACA